Molecule: long non-coding RNA, 1317 nt
Filed under: Mus musculus (house mouse)
Lineage: Eukaryota; Metazoa; Chordata; Mammalia; Rodentia; Muridae
Description: predicted gene, 35546
Source: RNAcentral
GAGAGCUCACAGCCAAUUUCAUGAGACGGUGCUACAUUAUCGUGCCUUCUUGCAUGAGGAAUUCAAGGCCACAUGCGGUUUCGUCACUUGUCAAAGGUUAGUGUUGCUGAGGUUAGAACUGGGUCCCACUUUGAUCUGAUUCCAAAGCCUGAUCCCUUAACUAGUGUGUGGAGCUGACUGCAGGGAGACUGCUACACCCAGGAAGAGCUGCAGCUGUCUCAGUGGCAGCGUGGAACCAAGGUCUACAGUGGCUGCUGAGGUCAGACUUGAAGAAAUGACUCACAUGCAAGGCUGAUCUACAUAAGUAGCCUGUGCUAAGACUGCCAUCUGGUAGAACAAUCUACAUCACACGACUCCACGUUUCCUGUUACCCAAGCAUCUCCAUGCUCUGCAGGUGCAGCUUCGAUGGACCAUGGCCAUAUUGCCCCACUACUAUCAAUCACACUGAGAUGUAGUCCACAGCAUUCAACAAGCCACCACUCAUGGGAUAGAGGAUAGGCAAAAGGAACAACUAAGACAGUAGAGGAGCCCAGCACUCCGAACCCCUAAUCAUGCCUUCGGUGGAUUCCUUUGGUAAAGUUUUCCUUUGUGGGUUUCUUUCAGCACUUGACCCAUAGCCCAUGGAAUGUGUCAGCUCUAAUUGCCUGUGUGGAUUGGCACAAGUCGUGCCUCAAAAUUGGAAUGUUGUCACAUAUAACAUAGCCUUUCAGAGGGAUAAAUGUGGAAAAUGUUUUACCCAUGAAUUCCUUAGAAGCAAUUGUGCUCUAUCACGUGAAAGGCUGAAGACCUGGACAGAACCUAAUGACUAUAUCCCCAAGAUCCCCAAGGUUCAGUGGCUUUCAGGAUGUUGCUCUCCCUGACUCCAUGGACAUCACAGAAUGACAGUUGUCCACUGGAGUAUUCUUCACCCAGGCAGCUUUCUAAAAAAAGGAAAUUUGAGAGUUGCAAGGACAGAUGAAGGGGCUGAGGGCCUGGGAUCCCUUUAUGUGAGACUCAUUAUUGAAGAACAACUUAUACAAUUAUUAUCUGAGGACCAGGUGACAGCUGUCAAGAAGGCCUCCUUGUAAGAGGGUGCAGAAUAUAUGAAAUUUGUCUUUAGGUGAUGAUCUACUACUAAGAGUGAUGCUAUGAGGUUGGCAUCUAAGGAAAAGAAAAGAGGCUGGCAUAUGGUGAGCACCUAGUCUGUGCCAUGAAUUGUGAACUUAACCUUGAAUUCUCGUAUGUUCAUCUAAGGUCUGUUUUCUUUAAGGAGAGAUUGUGACCCUCUUGGUCUGGUAUGCAAGCUGUGAUGAAUACAGAGCUCUUCAGAUGGAUCAA